Coturnix japonica (Japanese quail) is the source of this 2534-nucleotide long non-coding RNA. The record is from Ensembl. NCBI's taxonomy places the organism in Eukaryota, Metazoa, Chordata, Aves, Galliformes, Phasianidae.
AUGGGAUUUGCUGGGAGGUUCAUGUUAAUGUUGACCUCAAGCUGCACCUUAAUGGGAGCUUUAGUGAUAACUGCAGUUGUCUGCAGAGUAUCUGUAAGUAGAACCCUUUGUUUUUAUUUAAGUAACCUUCAUUCUAAUCAUAGUUCACAAUUCUACUUUGAAAGUAACUGCACCUUUAACCUUAGAAAUAGCAUUAGUUAUAUUCCUACUAUCAUUACUUCUAUCCCUAAUAGCAUGAAUUAUAUCCUACUGCUCCCUUCCAUCACAGUUAGUGUAAUGUUCACAGUGUGGUACCUGCAGAUGUGGGCAGUGCCUUCAUUGUCAUGUUGUGUCCAACAGGUUCCAGCAGAGCACAGAGAUGUGCGGCUCCUGAUGAGAGCAGCGAGGAACAGAAACCUGCAUUGCCUGGACCCAGCUUUGCUGAUGGUAACUCUCAGCCCAGCAGGGCCCUUAUAUUCCCUGGCUGAUGGAUGUUCCCCUUUGAUGCAGCACUCCAUGCUGCCAUGCAGGCGUUUAAUAAAGCUUUGGGGGGCUGACGAUCCAUCACAACAGCACAUCAGCUGCACAUAGCUGGAUUUGGUGCCGGAAAGCAGGUUGGGUUGUGGGGUUAGUUCUUCAUUUAGGCAGCAGCUCAGCUCUGUCCUACAAUGAACUCUAUGGGAACAUGUCAGACUUGCCUCCCCUUGUGGCCAGUCUCAGAGCUGCGCUGAUUUCAGUGUGCGCAGUUUAUUGUAACUACAUUGGUUUUAGCUUUAGAGUCAAUUAACCUCCAUUUAAUUGGAAUUAGCUUUUGAGUUAAGUUCUGUUAACCAAAUUGGUUUAAGGUUUGCGUUCAGUUAACCUUACCCAAAUUGGUUUUAGAUUUGACAUCACACUUAAACAAAUUGGUUUUAGCUUAGUAAUCUAUUAACUUCACCCACAUUGGGUUUUGUUUUGUAAUCAUUUAACUGCAACUAAAUUGGUUUUUGAUUUGUUGUUAAUUAAUCUUAAUCAAAUUGGUUAUAGCUUUUCAAUUAAUUAUUUUAACAAAAUUGGCUUUAGCUUUCAAUCAGUCAUUGUUAAUCAAAUUGGCUUUAGUUUUGCCAUUAUUUUUAAUCAAAUUGGCUUUAGUUUUGCAAUCAUUUAAUGUUACUUAAAUUGGUUGUAGCUUUACAACCGUUUAAGUUUAAUCUAAUUGGCUGUAGCUUUGCAAUCUAUCUACCUUAAUUGAAUUGGCUUUAGCUUUGCAAUCAUUUAAUCUUAAACUAAUUGGCUUUAACUUUGCUAUCAUUUAACCUUAACCAAAUUGGUUUAAGGUUUGAUUUCAAUUAAUAUCAGCCAAAUUGGCUUUAUUUAUCCUUGCUUACGGGGCUGGGCUAGCCCAUUUUUUUUCUAUCCGGGCUAACCCAGCCCCGUAACCAACGCCCACAGCCUGAGGGAGCCGAGUUGCUUCCCGGCCACUCUUUGACUUGUGCCCAUUUGUGGCCAUUAUGAGAGUUACGCUGAUUUCAGCGUGUGCAAUUAUUUUUUGUCAACCAAAUUGGCUUUUGUUCUGGAGUCAAUUAAUUUCAACCCAGAUUGGCUUCAGCUUUCUAUUCAAUUAUUGUCAACCAAAUUGGAUUUAGCUUUGGAAUCAAAUUAUCUAAUCCAAAUUGGCUUAAGUUUUGCAUUCAAUUAAUCUCAACUAAAUUGGCUUUCAAUUUGGCUUCAAUUUAACUCAAUCAAAUUGGCUUUAUUUUUGAAAUCAAAUUAUUUUAGCCAUAUUGGCUUUAUUUGUCCUUGCUUACGGGGCUGGGCUAGCCCACUUGUUUCUAUUAGGGCUAACCCAGCCCCCUAACCAAUGCCCACAGCCUGAGGGAGCCAAGUUGCUUCCUGGCCACUCUGAGACUUGUGCCCAUUUGCGGCCAUUAUGAGAGUUACGCUGGUUUCAGCGCUGUGCUGCCAUUUUGAAUGUGCCACAUUGGCUUUAGCUUUGCAGUCAAUUAUUGUUAAUCAAAUUGGCUUUAAUACUGAGUCCAUUCAUGUUUGUGUUAUUGAUUUCAAUUUUGCCUUGCUGUGUAUGUAAUGUGCUGAUGCUGUAAUUGUACCUUGUGCCAUGCAAUGUACUGUAUAUUUGGAUGCUGCACCUGUAAAGUGGUUUCUGCCUCAUCCUGUGGAUGCUGCGUCUGUCAACUGCGCUGUGCCCUGUACUCAACAUGUGGAUGCUGCGCCUGUAACCCGGGAUGGACAAUUUGCUGUGUAUAUGGAUGUUGUACAUGUAAAAUGUAUUGUGCCAUGUUCUCAAUGUAUCAAUGCUGUGCCUGUAAACUGUGUUGUGCUCUGUAUUGACUGUGCUGAUGUUUGUACUCUCUGUUGCGCCUUGUACUCAAUACUGGGAUCUUGUGAGUUGUAUCUUGUGCUAUUUGUACUGCAUAUCUGGAUGUUGUGCCAUGUACUGAACUGCUGUAUCCACUUUGUGCUUGUAAAUAUGAUGUUGUUGCUGUAUUGUGUUUGUACUAUUGUAUGAGUUGUGUAUUGUGUUAAUGGAGCUGUAAUAAAGAAACAAUUAAGCUGCA